RNAcentral lists this non-coding RNA (126 nucleotides) under Lampropedia cohaerens. RNAcentral describes it as "Glycine riboswitch aptamer". It matches the Rfam family "Glycine riboswitch aptamer". Rfam says of the family: This family represents the bacterial glycine riboswitch. Glycine riboswitches usually consist of two metabolite-binding aptamers domains with similar structures in tandem. The aptamers cooperatively bind glycine to regulate the expression of downstream genes. The record is from Rfam by way of RNAcentral. Lineage: Bacteria; Pseudomonadati; Pseudomonadota; Betaproteobacteria; Burkholderiales; Comamonadaceae. RNAcentral also lists the same sequence under 1 other name.
UCAUCAAAGGCUGGAGAGCGCUGGGUGCAGGGAAUCUUUUCUGCACUGCAGCCGCCGAAGGGGCAAGUCGCAUGGCCAGCAGGGCGGUGCGAUGAAUCUCUCAGGCAAAAGGACGGCUCGGGAAGG